This 819-nucleotide ribosomal RNA is filed under the name Bacillus pumilus. RNAcentral describes it as "bacterial SSU rRNA". It matches the Rfam family "Bacterial small subunit ribosomal RNA", at positions 77 to 877 of the family's 1533-position model. The record is from RNAcentral. Lineage: Bacteria; Bacillati; Bacillota; Bacilli; Caryophanales; Bacillaceae.
AGCUUGCUCCCGGAUGUUAGCGGCGGACGGGUGAGUAACACGUGGGUAACCUGCCUGUAAGACUGGGAUAACUCCGGGAAACCGGAGCUAAUACCGGAUAGUUCCUUGAACCGCAUGGUUCAAGGAUGAAAGACGGUUUCGGCUGUCACUUACAGAUGGACCCGCGGCGCAUUAGCUAGUUGGUGGGGUAAUGGCUCACCAAGGCGACGAUGCGUAGCCGACCUGAGAGGGUGAUCGGCCACACUGGGACUGAGACACGGCCCAGACUCCUACGGGAGGCAGCAGUAGGGAAUCUUCCGCAAUGGACGAAAGUCUGACGGAGCAACGCCGCGUGAGUGAUGAAGGUUUUCGGAUCGUAAAGCUCUGUUGUUAGGGAAGAACAAGUGCGAGAGUAACUGCUCGCACCUUGACGGUACCUAACCAGAAAGCCACGGCUAACUACGUGCCAGCAGCCGCGGUAAUACGUAGGUGGCAAGCGUUGUCCGGAAUUAUUGGGCGUAAAGGGCUCGCAGGCGGUUUCUUAAGUCUGAUGUGAAAGCCCCCGGCUCAACCGGGGAGGGUCAUUGGAAACUGGGAAACUUGAGUGCAGAAGAGGAGAGUGGAAUUCCACGUGUAGCGGUGAAAUGCGUAGAGAUGUGGAGGAACACCAGUGGCGAAGGCGACUCUCUGGUCUGUAACUGACGCUGAGGAGCGAAAGCGUGGGGAGCGAACAGGAUUAGAUACCCUGGUAGUCCACGCCGUAAACGAUGAGUGCUAAGUGUUAGGGGGUUUCCGCCCCUUAGUGCUGCAGCUAACGCAUUAAAGCAACUUCCGCCUUGG